This 253-nucleotide ribosomal RNA is filed under the name uncultured bacterium. RNAcentral describes it as "partial 16S ribosomal RNA". It matches the Rfam family "Bacterial small subunit ribosomal RNA", at positions 524 to 776 of the family's 1533-position model. The record is from RNAcentral.
UACGUAGGGUGCGAGCGUUGCCCGGAUUUAUUGGGCGUAAAGGGCGCGUAGGCGGCUACGCACGUCCGUUGUGAAAUCGCUCGGCUCAACUGGGCGGGGUCAGCGGAUACGGCGUAGCUGGAGCAAGCUAGGGGGCAAUGGAAUUCCCGGUGUAGUGGUGGAAUGCGUAGAUAUCGGGAGGAACACCAGUGGCGAAGGCGGUUGCCUGGAGCUUUGCUGACGCUGAUGAGCGAAAGCGUGGGGAGCGAACAGG